This 2278-nucleotide long non-coding RNA is filed under the name Coturnix japonica (Japanese quail). RNAcentral's name for it is "lncRNA (ENSCJPG00005000533.1)". Lineage: Eukaryota; Metazoa; Chordata; Aves; Galliformes; Phasianidae. The record is from RNAcentral.
AUGGGGCUCUAUGGCAUGCUAUGGGGUUUCUAUGGAGCUCUAUGGGGUCUCUAUGGGUCCCUAUGGGGCAGCUAUGGGGUCUCUAUGGGUCUCUAUGGGGUCUCUAUGGGUCUUUAUGGGUCCCUAUGGGUCUCUAUGGGUCCCUAUGGGUCUCCAUGGGUCUCUAUGUGGUCUCUAUGGGGUCUAUGGGGUCUCUGUGGGGUCUCUAUGGGUCCCUAUGGGGCAGCUAUGGGGUCUCUAUGGGGUCCCUAUGGGUCCCUAUGGGUCUCUAUGGGUCCCUAUGGGGCAGCUAUGGGGUCUCUAUGGGGUCUCUAUGGGUCUCUAUGGGUCCCUAUGGGGUUUCUAUGGGUCUCUAUGGGUCCCUAUGGGGUCUCUAUAGGGUCUCUAUGGGUCUCUAUGGGUCCCUAUGGGGUUUCUAUGGGUCUCUAUGGGUCCCUAUGGGGUCUCUAUGGGGUCUCUAUGUGGUCUCUAUGGGGCUCUAUGGCAUGCUAUGGGGUUUCUAUGGAGCUCUAUGAGGUCUCUAUGGGUCCCUAUGGGGUCUCUAUGGGUCUCUAUGGGUCUCUAUGGGUCCCUAUGGGUCCCUAUGGGGUCUCUAUGGGUCUCUAUGGGUCUCUAUGGGUCCCUAUGGGUCCCUAUGGGUCUCUAUGGGUCUUUAUGGGUCUCUAUGGGUCCCUAUGGGGUUUCUAUGGGUCUCUAUGGGUCCCUAUGGGGUCUCUAUGGGUCUCCAUGGGUCUCUAUGGGGCUUGCAGGAAAGGGGGCGUGGCCAUGGAAGUGGGCGGGGCUUUGACGUUGGUGGGCGUGGCUUCAUCUUCUGGGCUGCCUCUAUUCUGUCGAUCCAGGGGAACCCAGCCCCGAUUGCAGGUGCUGGUGGUGGGAGCGGAGGAGCUGAGCCAACAACACGGACCAGAGAGACUGAAAAGGGAACUGAGGCGCUGCUUCCCGCUGCUGGACGCUCUGAUUGGUGGAGACGUCACCUUGUCCCGCCCACUUCCGGCCACGCCCAGACCGGAAAUGGAGGUCCUCCUGCAGUCUCUAUGCUCCGCUGCUCGUUCCGGUCCCAGCUGCAUCCGGGUCCUUGGGGUCGGGGGUCCCCCGUUGGUCUCCACACCCCAAUGGCGGGCUCUGCCCCACACGGACGCCGCCAUCUUGGUUUCUCUCCUCACUUCCGGUUCCGCUCACUCGGCCAAGGAUCUGCCGGUUUUCUUGCCCACCGGAAGUCCCGCGGUGAGACCCGGAAGUGGAAGUCUAAGCCACGCCCCCCCCUUCCCUCCCACGUGACCCGGAAGUGGAUCCGCUAAGCCACGCCCCCUUCCCCUCCCCACGUGACCCGGAAGUGGAGGCGUUUAGUGCCCCCCCCCCCCCCCCGCCCCAUAAGUGAUUCCUCCAGCCCCAUAGAGCCCCAUAAGUGCCCCAUAGGGACCCAUAUAUGCUCUCCCUGCCCCAUAAGUGACGCCAUAGGCCCCACAAGUGACCCCAUAGGAACCUAUUAGUGACCCCUGCCCCAUAAGUGACCCAUAGAGCCCCAUAAGUGCCCUCCCUGCCCCAUAAGUGGCCCCAUAGAGCCCCAUAAGUGAUCUCCAGCCCCAUAAGUGAUCUCCAGCCCCAUAAGUGAUAUCCAGCCCCAUAAGUGAUAUCCAGCCCCAUAAGUGGCCCCAUAGACACCCAUAAGUGCCCCCCAGCCCCAUAACUGACCCCUCCCACCCCAUAAGUGGCCCCAUAGAGCCCCAUAAGUGAUCUCCAGCCCCAUAAGUGACCCCAUCCUGCCCCAUAAGUGCCCCAUAGAGCCCCAUAUGUGCCCCCCCUGCCCCAUAAGUGGCCCCAUAGGAACCUAUACGUGCCCCCCUGCCCCAUAAGUGGCCCCAUAGAGCCCCAUAAGUGAUAUCCAGCCCCAUAAGUGCCCCAUAGGAACCCAUAUGUGCCCCCCUGCCCCAUAAGUAACCCCAUAGGAACCCAUAAGUGCCCCAUAGAGCCCCAUAUGUGCCCCCCUGCCCCAUAAGUGGCCCCAUAGGAACCUAUAAGUGACCCCUGCCCCAUAAGUGGCCCCAUAGGAGCCCAUAAGUGCCCCAUAGAGCCCCAUAAGUGGUCACCUGCCCCAUAAGCGACCCCAUAAGUGCCUCCCUGCCCCAUAAGUCACCCCAUAGAGCCCCAUAAGGGAUCUCCAGCCCCAUAAGUGGCCCCAUAGGGCCCCAUAAGUGCCCCAUAGGAACCCAUAUGUGCCCCCCUGCCCCAUAAGUGACCCCAUAGGAACCUAUUAGUGACCCCUGCCCCAUAAGUGACC